RNAcentral lists this small nuclear RNA (56 nucleotides) under Rattus norvegicus (Norway rat). The record is from RNAcentral. Lineage: Eukaryota; Metazoa; Chordata; Mammalia; Rodentia; Muridae.
GUGCUCGCUUCCACAGCACAUAUACUAAAAUUGGAACAAUACAGAGAAGAUUAACA